This is a long non-coding RNA of Rhincodon typus (whale shark), 512 nucleotides long. RefSeq lists it as uncharacterized. The record is from RefSeq and is a predicted model, not a curated record. The transcript has 3 exons. NCBI's taxonomy places the organism in Eukaryota, Metazoa, Chordata, Chondrichthyes, Orectolobiformes, Rhincodontidae.
AAAAUGUAUCUCACUCACAGACCAUCAAUUUGUGAUGAAAUGUAACCUCCCUUUUAUGGCAACCAUUCCCAUAGUGCUGUGCACUUUCUUGCCACGGAGCCAUAUUGAGUAGGGAUUCUUUAUAAACAGCUGCUGAAUGGGAAUCGGAGGGUUUUUUCUUCUGUCAUUUUAAAUGAGGCUGUCGGCGAUUGAUCAAUGUAAGCAAUCCGCCUCGAAGGAGCAGAUCAUUUUAGCAGGGCGAAAAUCAGCUUCCUGAUUUGAACUGCCAUUUCCUCAACGUUCACCUGCUGCAAGACAGAUGAUCGAGAGUGAUGUCUCAGUGCCUGACACAGGAAUGCAAAUUAGGACAGGCUGCAAGGUGACUGGGACUUCAUAUCCUCUGACUGACAGUACAUUCUGCUCUGCUGCUCCCAAUCCCUUCCUCGACUUACAUUGUCACAAAUAUGGACCAAGAAUAUGAGCGAAGGCUUCUUCGACAAACACAUUUCCAAAAUGUCUCUGAGAAUAUGCUU